Molecule: long non-coding RNA, 324 nt
Filed under: Cyanistes caeruleus (blue tit)
Lineage: Eukaryota; Metazoa; Chordata; Aves; Passeriformes; Paridae
Description: lncRNA (ENSCCEG00000021316.1)
Source: RNAcentral
ACAGCCCUUCUCAGAGGGAAGGAGAGGCUCAGAGAACAGCAUCUGCACCUCAGCAAAAGUGCAUGUCCCCCUCUGCUUCCCCACAUAAUACUUUGGAAGAUUGAAGGGUGCUGGCCACAAGCCUGAGAAGAUUGAGCUUGUCCCCUCACACCACUAAUGAGAGCAUACCAAUCAACACCGUGGCUAAUUGGCUCCUCAGUCCACUGCUUCACCUUCCUGGCAGGAAGAAGAUGUGAAGACAGAGGAGAGAGGAGCAGGACUCCCUUUAAGUGACAGGUGGGUUUGGGCAAAGGUAAGACUACAAGGAAAAAGCAACAAAAGGAA